GUAUGGCUUAGUGGUAGAGUAUGUACCUAGCAUGUACAAGGUCCUGGGUCAAUUCUCAGCAAAUACA
Molecule: transfer RNA, 67 nt
Filed under: Cavia porcellus (domestic guinea pig)
Lineage: Eukaryota; Metazoa; Chordata; Mammalia; Rodentia; Caviidae
Rfam family: tRNA
About the family: Transfer RNA (tRNA) molecules are approximately 80 nucleotides in length. Their secondary structure includes four short double-helical elements and three loops (D, anti-codon, and T loops).
Source: Rfam by way of RNAcentral